AUUCCAGCUCCAAUAGCGUAUAUUAAAGUUGUUGCAGUUAAAAAGCUCGUAGUUGGAUUUGUGGCUUGUCGAGUGGUCCUCCUUUUUGGGGGUACUGUUUUGGUGAGUCAUCCUUGGGUGGAGGCUGUGUGGCAUUAGGUUGUCGCGCAGUUGAUGCCCAUCGUUUACUGUGAGAAAAUUAGAGUGUUCAAAGCAGGCUUAUGCCGUUGAAUAGAUUAGCAUGGAAUAAUGAGAUAGGACCUUGGUACUAUUUUGUUGGUUUGCGCACCGAGGUAAUGAUUAAUAGGGACAGUUGGGGGUAUUCGUAUUCCAUUGUCAGAGGUGAAAUUCUUGGAUUUCUGGAAGACGAACAACUGCGAAAGCAUUUACCAAGGAUGUUUUC
RNAcentral lists this ribosomal RNA (382 nucleotides) under Sellaphora sp. DM-MEX039. RNAcentral's name for it is "SSU rRNA". It matches the Rfam family "Eukaryotic small subunit ribosomal RNA", at positions 582 to 971 of the family's 1831-position model. Lineage: Eukaryota; Bacillariophyta; Bacillariophyceae; Sellaphorales; Sellaphoraceae. The record is from RNAcentral.